RNAcentral lists this ribosomal RNA (684 nucleotides) under Comamonas odontotermitis. RNAcentral describes it as "bacterial SSU rRNA". It matches the Rfam family "Bacterial small subunit ribosomal RNA", at positions 59 to 737 of the family's 1533-position model. Lineage: Bacteria; Pseudomonadati; Pseudomonadota; Betaproteobacteria; Burkholderiales; Comamonadaceae. The record is from RNAcentral.
AAGUCGACGGCAGCAUGGGCUUCGGCCUGAUGGCGAGUGGCGAACGGGUGAGUAAUACAUCGGAACGUGCCUAGUAGUGGGGGAUAACUACUCGAAAGAGUAGCUAAUACCGCAUGAGAUCUAAGGAUGAAAGCAGGGGACCUUCGGGCCUUGCGCUACUAGAGCGGCCGAUGGCAGAUUAGGUAGUUGGUGGGAUAAAAGCUUACCAAGCCGACGAUCUGUAGCUGGUCUGAGAGGACGACCAGCCACACUGGGACUGAGACACGGCCCAGACUCCUACGGGAGGCAGCAGUGGGGAAUUUUGGACAAUGGGCGCAAGCCUGAUCCAGCAAUGCCGCGUGCAGGAUGAAGGCCUUCGGGUUGUAAACUGCUUUUGUACGGAACGAAAAGCUUCUGGUUAAUACCUGGGAGUCAUGACGGUACCGUAAGAAUAAGCACCGGCUAACUACGUGCCAGCAGCCGCGGUAAUACGUAGGGUGCGAGCGUUAAUCGGAAUUACUGGGCGUAAAGCGUGCGCAGGCGGUUAUGUAAGACAGAGGUGAAAUCCCCGGGCUCAACCUGGGAACUGCCUUUGUGACUGCAUGGCUAGAGUGCGGCAGAGGGGGAUGUAAUUCCGGCGUGUAGCAUUGAAUUGCGUAAAAUAUGCGUAGGAACACCGAUGGCGAAAGCCUUCCCCCUGGUCCC